AAUCAAACGCUGGCGGCGUGCCUCAGACAUGCAAGUCGAACGAGAACCUCCCUUCGGGGAGGGGACAGUGGCGCACGGGUGAGUAACACGUGGGUAAUUUACCUUUGGGUGGGGAACAACAGCCGGAAACGGCUGCUAAUACCGCAUAAAUGCAGCGGCUCGACAUCGAGACAGUUGUUAAAAGCGGGGAUCGCAAGACCUCGCGCCUGAAGAGAAGCCUGCGGCGGAUUAGCAGUUGGUAGGGUAAUGGCCUACCAAGGCGACGAUCUGUAACCGGCCUGAGAGGGCGGUCGGUCACACUGACACUGACAUAC
RNAcentral lists this ribosomal RNA (314 nucleotides) under uncultured bacterium. Its description in RNAcentral is "bacterial SSU rRNA". It matches the Rfam family "Bacterial small subunit ribosomal RNA", at positions 30 to 327 of the family's 1533-position model. The record is from RNAcentral.